GACGAACGCUGGCGGCGUGCUUAACACAUGCAAGUCGAACGCUGAAGCUUGGUGCUUGCACUGGGUGGAUGAGUGGCGAACGGGUGAGUAAUACGUGAGUAACCUGCCCUUGACUCUGGGAUAAGCCUGGGAAACUGGGUCUAAUACUGGAUAUGACAUGCCACUGCAUGGUGGUGUGUGGAAAGGGUUUUACUGGUUUUGGAUGGGCUUACGGCCUAUCAGCUUGUUGGUGGGGUAAUGGCCUACCAAGGCGACGACGGGUAGCCGGCCUGAGAGGGUGACCGGCCACACUGGGACUGAGACACGGCCCAGACUCCUACGGGAGGCAGCAGUGGGGAAUAUUGCACAAUGGGCGGAAGCCUGAUGCAGCGACGCCGCGUGAGGGAUGACGGCCUUCGGGUUGUAAACCUCUUUCAGCACGGAAGAAGCGAGAGUGACGGUACGUGCAGAAGAAGCGCCGGCUAACUACGUG
Molecule: ribosomal RNA, 472 nt
Filed under: uncultured bacterium
Lineage: Bacteria
Description: partial 16S ribosomal RNA
Rfam family: Bacterial small subunit ribosomal RNA
Source: RNAcentral